This 579-nucleotide long non-coding RNA is filed under the name Homo sapiens (human). RNAcentral's name for it is "long non-coding RNA NONHSAT234849". Lineage: Eukaryota; Metazoa; Chordata; Mammalia; Primates; Hominidae. The record is from RNAcentral.
AUAAAUUUAAGAUUCAAGUAGCUCGUUAAACCUCUAACAGGAUAAAUGUAAACAAAACUGAAUGUCCCACAACUCCCUACCUUCCUACCCGCCAAUGCCCUCCUCCUCACUUAUCUGGACUCUGAAAGCAUCUGAGCUUUUGACCCUGGGGUAAGGGAAGUAGCACAUGAAUAGGAGUCAGACCUCUGGGGAUUUUAACCCUGGCUCACUGACAUGUGUGAGGGCUGGAGAAAACCAGUCUUUCUGCCUGGGCCUCAGUUCCUCACCUGAAAAAAAUCUCAGGGUUGAACUAGACAGUCUUCUAAGCCCCUUCAGCUCUAAAAUACCACCCUUUAUGAACUCUUAUGUGAAAUUUUUCUGUUCAAAAAUAAUAUUAUAUAUCAAACCCUAAUGCUAUGAAACAAAAAACUGCUUUUCUGCCAAGAGUCUUUUCAAUCCUUAUAAUGGUGCAAGUGACUGAAAUGAAGAUGGUCACAGAACAGAACCAAAAAUGGAGUUCAUAGCAACCAGAAUGGAAGUCAGCUUUCCCAGCAGCUUCCGGCAGAGCCCUGCAAGCACCAUGGGAAGCCUGGAAUUCAU